Molecule: ribosomal RNA, 319 nt
Filed under: Serratia nematodiphila
Lineage: Bacteria; Pseudomonadati; Pseudomonadota; Gammaproteobacteria; Enterobacterales; Yersiniaceae
Description: bacterial SSU rRNA
Rfam family: Bacterial small subunit ribosomal RNA
Source: RNAcentral
AGGGGCAGGCCUUACACAUGCAGUCGAGCGGUAGCACAGGGGAGCUUGCUCCCCGGGUGACGAGCGGCGGACGGGUGAGUAAUGUCUGGGAAACUGCCUGAUGGAGGGGGAUAACUACUGGAAACGGUAGCUAAUACCGCAUAACGUCGCAAGACCAAAGAGGGGGACCUUCGGGCCUCUUGCCAUCAGAUGUGCCCAGAUGGGAUUAGCUAGUAGGUGGGGUAAUGGCUCACCUAGGCGACGAUCCCUAGCUGGUCUGAGAGGAUGACCAGCCUCACUGGAACUGAGACACGGUCCAGACUCCUACGGGAGGCAGCAC